CAAAGGAGUGAUCCGGCAGAGGAUGGACAUGCGGCGCAUUAGCUAGUCGGCGGGGUAACGGCCCACCGAGGCUACGAUGCGUAGGGGUUCUGAGAGGAAGGUCCCCCACACUGGUACUGAGACACGGACCAGACUCCUACGGGAGGCAGCAGUGAGGAAUAUUGGUCAAUGGGCGGAAGCCUGAACCAGCCAAGUCGCGUGAGGGAAGACGGUCCUAUGGAUUGUAAACCUCUUUUGCAGGGGAACAAGGCGCGGUACGUGUACCGCGAAGGAGAGUACCCUGAGAAAAAGCAUCGGCUAACUCCGUGCCAGCAGCCGCGGUAAUACGGAGGAUGCGAGCGUUAUCCGGAUUUAUUGGGUUUAAAGGGUGCGCAGGCGGACUGUUAAGUCAGCGGUAAAAUGUCGGUGCUCAACACCGGCCGGCCGUUGAAACUGGCAGCCUUGAGUGAGCGAGAAGUAUGCGGAAUGCGUGGUGUAGCGGUGAAAUGCAUAGAUAUCACGCAGAACUCCGAUUGCGAAGGCAGCAUACCGGCGCUCAACUGACGCUCAGGCACGAAAGCGUGGGUAUCGAACAGGCUUAGAUACCCUGGUAGUCCACGCAGUAAACGAUGAAUGCUCACUGUCCGGGCCGUUUAAGGCCUGG
RNAcentral lists this ribosomal RNA (643 nucleotides) under uncultured bacterium. Its description in RNAcentral is "bacterial SSU rRNA". It matches the Rfam family "Bacterial small subunit ribosomal RNA", at positions 202 to 842 of the family's 1533-position model. The record is from RNAcentral.